This 439-nucleotide ribosomal RNA is filed under the name uncultured Bacteroidota bacterium. Its description in RNAcentral is "bacterial SSU rRNA". It matches the Rfam family "Bacterial small subunit ribosomal RNA", at positions 338 to 774 of the family's 1533-position model. Lineage: Bacteria; Pseudomonadati; Bacteroidota. The record is from RNAcentral.
CCUACGGGAGGCAGCAGUAAGGAAUAUUGGUCAAUGGGCGCAAGCCUGAACCAGCCAUGCCGCGUGCAGGAAGACGGCCCUAUGGGUUGUAAACUGCUUUUAUCAGGGAAUAAACCCCCGCUCGUGAGCGGGGCUGAAGGUACCUGAGGAAUAAGCAUCGGCUAACUCCGUGCCAGCAGCCGCGGUAAUACGGAGGAUGCAAGCGUUAUCCGGAUUCAUUGGGUAUAAAGGGUGCGCAGGCGGAUUGGUAAGUCAGGGGUGAAAUCCCACAGCUCAACUGUGGAACUGCCUUUGAUACUGUCAGUCUAGAGUAUAGUUGAAGUUGGCGGAAUGUGUCAUGUAGCGGUGAAAUGCUUAGAUAUGACACAGAACACCGAUCGCGAAGGCAGCUAGCUAAGCUAUAACUGACGCUCAUGCACGAAAGCGUGGGGAUCAAACA